RNAcentral lists this ribosomal RNA (363 nucleotides) under uncultured Caryophanales bacterium. RNAcentral's name for it is "bacterial SSU rRNA". It matches the Rfam family "Bacterial small subunit ribosomal RNA", at positions 20 to 359 of the family's 1533-position model. Lineage: Bacteria; Bacillati; Bacillota; Bacilli; Caryophanales. The record is from RNAcentral.
UGGCUCAGAACGAACGCUGGCGGCGUGCCUAAUACAUGCAAGUCGAGCGCGGGAAGCGGAUGGAUCCCUUCGGGGUGACGUUCGUGGAACGAGCGGCGGACGGGUGAGUAACACGUGGGCAACCUGCCCGUAAGACCGGGAUAACUCCGGGAAACCGGGGCUAAUACCGGAUAGGCUUUUGCCCCGCAUGGGGCAAAAGGGAAAGAUGGUUUCGGCCAUCGCUUACGGAUGGGCCCGCGGCGCAUUAGCUAGUUGGUGAGGUAAUGGCUCACCGAGGAGACGAUGCGUAGCCGACCUGAGAGGGUGAUCGGCCACACUGUGACUGAGACACGGGACAGACUCCUACGGGAUGCAGCAGUGGGA